This 155-nucleotide ribosomal RNA is filed under the name uncultured bacterium. RNAcentral describes it as "partial 16S ribosomal RNA". The record is from RNAcentral.
GCACGUAGUUAGCCGGUGCUUAUUCUUAGGGUACCGUCAAUUGUCCACGCAUGGACUUUUUCUUCCCCUACUAAAGCAGUUUACAACCCAGAGGGCCUUCCUCCUGCACGCGGCAUGGCUGGGUCAGUCUUCCGACCAUUGCCCAAUAUUCCCUA